This 1428-nucleotide ribosomal RNA is filed under the name Staphylococcus haemolyticus. Its description in RNAcentral is "bacterial LSU rRNA". It matches the Rfam family "Bacterial large subunit ribosomal RNA", at positions 1374 to 2798 of the family's 2925-position model. The record is from RNAcentral. Lineage: Bacteria; Bacillati; Bacillota; Bacilli; Caryophanales; Staphylococcaceae.
UCUGGGUUAGUCGGGUCCUAAGCUGAGGCCGACAGGCGUAGGCGAUGGAUAACAGGUUGAUAUUCCUGUACCACCUAGCAUCGUUUUAAUCGAUGGGGGGACGCAGUAGGAUAGGCGAAGCGUACGAUUGGAUUGUACGUCUAAGCAGUGAGAUUGAGUGUUAGGCAAAUCCGGCACUCUUAAGAUUGAGCUGUGAUGGGGAGAGGAAAUUGUUUCCUCGAGUCGUUGAUUUCACACUGCCGAGAAAAGCCUCUAGAUAGAUAAUAGGUGCCCGUACCGCAAACCGACACAGGUAGUCAAGAUGAGAAUUCUAAGGUGAGCGAGCGAACUCUCGUUAAGGAACUCGGCAAAAUGACCCCGUAACUUCGGGAGAAGGGGUGCUCUUUAGGGUGCAAGCCCAGAAGAGCCGCAGUGAAUAGGCCCAAGCGACUGUUUAUCAAAAACACAGGUCUCUGCUAAACCGUAAGGUGAUGUAUAGGGGCUGACGCCUGCCCGGUGCUGGAAGGUUAAGAGGAGUGGUUAGCUUCUGCGAAGCUACGAAUCGAAGCCCCAGUAAACGGCGGCCGUAACUAUAACGGUCCUAAGGUAGCGAAAUUCCUUGUCGGGUAAGUUCCGACCCGCACGAAAGGCGUAACGAUUUGGGCACUGUCUCAACGAGAGACUCGGUGAAAUCAUAGUACCUGUGAAGAUGCAGGUUACCCGCGACAGGACGGAAAGACCCCGUGGAGCUUUACUGUAGCCUGAUAUUGAAAUUCGGCACAGCUUGUACAGGAUAGGUAGGAGCCUUUGAAACGUGAGCGCUAGCUUACGUGGAGGCGCUGGUGGGAUACUACCCUAGCUGUGUUGGCUUUCUAACCCGCACCACUUAUCGUGGUGGGAGACAGUGUCAGGCGGGCAGUUUGACUGGGGCGGUCGCCUCCUAAAAGGUAACGGAGGCGCUCAAAGGUUCCCUCAGAAUGGUUGGAAAUCAUUCAUAGAGUGUAAAGGCAUAAGGGAGCUUGACUGCGAGACCUACAAGUCGAGCAGGGUCGAAAGACGGACUUAGUGAUCCGGUGGUUCCGCAUGGAAGGGCCAUCGCUCAACGGAUAAAAGCUACCCCGGGGAUAACAGGCUUAUCUCCCCCAAGAGUUCACAUCGACGGGGAGGUUUGGCACCUCGAUGUCGGCUCAUCGCAUCCUGGGGCUGUAGUCGGUCCCAAGGGUUGGGCUGUUCGCCCAUUAAAGCGGUACGCUAGCUGGGUUCAGAACGUCGUGAGACAGUUCGGUCCCUAUCCGUCGUGGGCGUAGGAAAUUUGAGAGGAGCUGUCCUUAGUACGAGAGGACCGGGAUGGACAUACCUCUGGUGUACCAGUUGUCGUGCCAACGGCAUAGCUGGGUAGCUAUGUAUGGACGGGAUAAGUGCUGAAAGCAUCUAAGCAUGAAGCCCCCC